RNAcentral lists this ribosomal RNA (207 nucleotides) under uncultured bacterium. RNAcentral describes it as "partial 16S ribosomal RNA". It matches the Rfam family "Bacterial small subunit ribosomal RNA", at positions 568 to 774 of the family's 1533-position model. The record is from RNAcentral.
CACGCAGGCGGUCGUGCGCGUUUCGCGUGACAGCGGAUGGCUUAACUGUCCGAGGAUGCGAAAGACGGCACGGCUGGAGGGCCAGAGAGGGACACGGAAUUCCGGGUGGAGUGGUGAAAUGCGUAGAGAUCCGGAGGAACACCGCAGGCGAAGGCAGUGUCCUGGCUGGUACCUGACGCUGAGGUGCGAAAGCCAGGGGAGCGAACG